Molecule: ribosomal RNA, 479 nt
Filed under: uncultured bacterium
Lineage: Bacteria
Description: partial 16S ribosomal RNA
Rfam family: Bacterial small subunit ribosomal RNA
Source: RNAcentral
GAUGAACGCUAGCGGGAGGCCUAACACAUGCAAGCCGAGCGGUAUUUGUUCUUCGGAACAGAGAGAGCGGCGCACGGGUGCGGAACACGUGUGCAACCUGCCUUUAUCUGGGGGAUAGCCUUUCGAAAGGAAGAUUAAUACCCCAUAAUAUAUUGAGUGGCAUCAUUUGAUAUUGAAAACUCCGGUGGAUAGAGAUGGGCAUGCGCAAGAUUAGAUAGUUGGUGAGGUAACGGCUCACCAAGUCAAUGAUCUUUAGGGGGCCUGAGAGGGUGAUCCCCCACACUGGUACCGAGACACUGACCAGACUCCUACGGGAGGCAGCAGUGAGGAAUAUUGGACAAUGGGUUAGCGCCUGAUCCAGCCAUCCCGCGUGAAGGACGACGGCCCUAUGGGUUGUAAACUUCUUUUGUAUAGGGAUAAACCUACUCUCGUGAGAGUAGCUGAAGGUACUAUACGAAUAAGCACCGGCUAACUCCGUG